This 253-nucleotide ribosomal RNA is filed under the name uncultured Singulisphaera sp. Its description in RNAcentral is "partial 16S ribosomal RNA". It matches the Rfam family "Bacterial small subunit ribosomal RNA", at positions 524 to 776 of the family's 1533-position model. Lineage: Bacteria; Pseudomonadati; Planctomycetota; Planctomycetia; Isosphaerales; Isosphaeraceae. The record is from RNAcentral.
GACAGAGGUGCCGAGCGUUAGGCGGAAUCACUGGGCUUAAAGCGCGUGUAGGCGGACCGUUAAGUGCCUCGUGAAAUCCCCCGGCUCAACCGGGGAACGGCGGGGCAUACUGGCGGUCUUGGGCCACCUAGGGGUCAUCGGAACAGGCGGUGGAGCGGUGAAAUGCGUAGAUAUCGCCUGGAACGCCGACGGUGAAAACAGAUGACUGGGGGUGUGCCGACGCUGAGACGCGAAAGCCAGGGGAGCGAACGGG